Molecule: long non-coding RNA, 300 nt
Filed under: Olea europaea (common olive)
Lineage: Eukaryota; Viridiplantae; Streptophyta; Magnoliopsida; Lamiales; Oleaceae
Description: long non-coding RNA (OEUR_LNC013303)
Source: RNAcentral
CAUUGGUGUUGCUACCCUAAUAUUAAGACCACUACUUCUGUGACAGAUUUUGGAUAGUCGGCUGGGGGCUUUUGCAAUCUGAAGUUCGAAAAAAGCCACUUUCUGUUGGUCGUCUAAAGUUGAGUACAGAUGCUUCAUUCUGAGUAGAUGGUUUUUUCAAACGGGGACCGACCAUUAUUCAGGAUCAGACUGGGAUAUCUCAAGGUGGAAGUUGCCGAGGCUGGUAUAGUAUGGCUUCCUUUUUGCCAAACAAAAUGGUUUCGAGCUUGAGGAGACUAAAUGUGACUCGUUAUGUGUUGU